Molecule: ribosomal RNA, 468 nt
Filed under: uncultured bacterium
Lineage: Bacteria
Description: partial 16S ribosomal RNA
Rfam family: Bacterial small subunit ribosomal RNA
Source: RNAcentral
GACGAACGCUGGCGGCGUGCUUAACACAUGCAAGUCGAACGGAAAGGCCCUGCUUUUGUGGGGUGCUCGAGUGGCGAACGGGUGAGUAACACGUGAGUAACCUGCCCUUGACUUUGGGAUAACUUCAGGAAACUGGGGCUCAUACCGGAUAGGAGCUCCUGCUGCAUGGUGGGGGUUGGAAAGUUUCGGCGGUUGGGGAUGGACUCGCGGCUUAUCAGCUUGUUGGUGGGGUAGUGGUUUACCAAGGCUUUGACGGGUAGCCGGCCUGAGAGGGUGACCGGCCACAUUGGGACUGAGAUACGGCCCAGACUCCUACGGGAGGCAGAAGUGGAGAAUAUUGCACAAUGGGCGGAAGCCUGAUGCAGCAACGCCGCGUGCGGGAUGACGGCCUUCUGGUUGUAAACCGCUGUCGCCUGUGACGAAGCGUGAGUGACGGUAAUGGGUAAAGAAGCACCGGCUAACUACGUG